RNAcentral lists this ribosomal RNA (563 nucleotides) under uncultured eukaryote. Its description in RNAcentral is "bacterial SSU rRNA". It matches the Rfam family "Eukaryotic small subunit ribosomal RNA", at positions 667 to 1134 of the family's 1831-position model. The record is from RNAcentral.
CGUGCACCGACCCACCCACCCUAUCAAUCAAUCUACUAGAUACUCGCCCCUGCCCCUUCAUUGGGGUGGGGGUUCCAAAAAGGGAAAGCGGUCUGGGGAGAAAUUUUGGGGGGUUCGCCUUCCUUUUUUCCCUCCUCUCCGCUCUUCCCGAGAGUUCUAGUUCGUUUACUUUGAGUAAAUUAGAGUGUUCAAAGCAGGCAAAAAUCUUUUCAGCCGUUGAACAUCAUUAGCAUGGGAUAAUGGAAUAGGACGUCGUUUUCUAUUUUUGUUGGUUUCCGGAAACGAAGUAAUGAUCAAUAGGGAUAGUUGGGGGCAUCAGUAUUUAAUUGUCAGAGGUGAAAUUCUUGGAUUUAUGAAAGACUAACUUCUGCGAAAGCAUUUGCCAAGGAUGUUUUCAUUGAUCAAGAACGAAGUUAGGGGAUCGAAGACGAUCAGAUACCGUCGUAGUCUUAACCAUAAACUAUGCCGACCAAGGAUCGGGGAGACGGUUUCGACGUUUUAGGACUCCCCCAGCACUUUACGAGAAAUCACUAAGUUUUGGGUUCCGGGGAGUAUGGUCGCAA